GAGGCGGCCCCCUUGAACAAAGAACUGACGUCAGUUGCGAAAGCGUGGGGAGCAAACAGGAUUAGAUACCUGUAGUCCACGCCGUAAACGAUGUCGAUUUGGAGUUGUGCCUUGAGGCGUGGCUUCCGGAGCUAACGCGUUAAAUCGACCGCUGGGGAGUACGGCCGCAAGGUUAAAACUCAAAUGAAUUGACGGGGGCCCGCACAAGCGGUGGAGCAUGUGGUUUAAUUCGAUGCAACGCGAAGAACCUUACCUGGUCUUGACAUCCACAGAACUUUCCAGAGAUGGAUUGGUGCCUUCGGGAACUGUGAGACAGGUGCUGCAUGGCUGUCGUCAGCUCGUGUUGUGAAAUGUUGGGUUAAGUCCCGCAACGAGCGCAACCCUUAUCCUUUGUUGCCAGCGGUUAGGCCGGGAACUCAAAGGAGACUGCCAGUGAUAAACUGGAGGAAGGUGGGGAUGACGUCAAGUCAUCAUGGCCCUUACGACCAGGGCUACACACGUGCUACAAUGGCGCAUACAAAGAGAAGCGACCUCGCGAGAGCAAGCGGACCUCAUAAAGUGCGUCGUAGUCCGGAUUGGAGUCUGCAACUCGACUCCAUGAAGUCGGAAUCGCUAGUAAUCGUAGAUCAGAAUGCUACGGUGAAUACGUUCCCGGGCCUUGUACACACCGCCCGUCACACCAUGGGAGUGGGUUGCAAAAGAAGUAGGUAGCUUAACCUUCGGGAGGGCGCUUACCACUUUGUGAUUCAUGACUGGGGGACUGUC
Molecule: ribosomal RNA, 765 nt
Filed under: Enterobacter sp. B16(2014)
Lineage: Bacteria; Pseudomonadati; Pseudomonadota; Gammaproteobacteria; Enterobacterales; Enterobacteriaceae
Description: bacterial SSU rRNA
Rfam family: Bacterial small subunit ribosomal RNA
Source: RNAcentral